CCCUAGCCCUGAUUGAAGCGGAAAUCCUUUUUAUUUUUUUUAAAAAAUAAAAAGAUUAUAGUGGAAAGCAGGAUUAAGC
Molecule: small RNA, 79 nt
Filed under: Flavobacterium gillisiae
Lineage: Bacteria; Pseudomonadati; Bacteroidota; Flavobacteriia; Flavobacteriales; Flavobacteriaceae
Description: Flavo-1 RNA
Rfam family: Flavo-1 RNA
Source: RNAcentral